UUAGGAAUAUUCGUCAAUGGGGGGAACCCUGAACGAGCAAUGCCGCGUGAAUGAAGAAGGCCCUAUGGGUUGUAAAAUUCUGUUGUAUGGAAAGAAAGAUAGAUAUAGGAAAUGAUAUGUAUUUGACGGUACCAUUCAAGAAAGCCACGGCUAACUACGUGCCAGCAGCCGCGGUAAUACGUAGGUGGCGAGCGUUAUCCGGAAUUAUUGGGCGUAAAGAGUGCGCAGGCGGUUUGAUAAGUCUAAAAUAAAAGCCCGAAGCUUAACUUCGGUUCGUUUUAGAAACUGUCAGACUAGAGUGUGGUAGAGGCAAAUGGAAUUUCUAGUGUAGCGGUAAAAUGCGUAGAUAUUAGAAGGAACACCAGUGGCGAAGGCGAUUUGCUGGGCCACAACUGACGCUCAUGCACGAAAGCGUGGGGAGCAAAUAGG
RNAcentral lists this ribosomal RNA (429 nucleotides) under uncultured bacterium. RNAcentral describes it as "bacterial SSU rRNA". It matches the Rfam family "Bacterial small subunit ribosomal RNA", at positions 355 to 776 of the family's 1533-position model. The record is from RNAcentral.